This 253-nucleotide ribosomal RNA is filed under the name uncultured bacterium. Its description in RNAcentral is "partial 16S ribosomal RNA". It matches the Rfam family "Bacterial small subunit ribosomal RNA", at positions 524 to 776 of the family's 1533-position model. The record is from RNAcentral.
UACGGAGGGUGCAAGCGUUAUCCGGAUUCACUGGGUUUAAAGGGUGCGUAGGUGGGUUGGUAAGUCAGUGGUGAAAUCUCCGGGCUUAACCCGGAAACUGCCAUUGAUACUAUCAGUCUUGAAUAUUGUGGAGGUCAGCGGAAUAUGUCAUGUAGCGGUGAAAUGCUUAGAUAUGACAUAGAACACCAAUUGCGAAGGCAGCUGGCUACGCAUAUAUUGACACUGAGGCACGAAAGCGUGGGGAUCAAACAGG